This 423-nucleotide ribosomal RNA is filed under the name uncultured bacterium. RNAcentral's name for it is "bacterial SSU rRNA". It matches the Rfam family "Bacterial small subunit ribosomal RNA", at positions 958 to 1382 of the family's 1533-position model. The record is from RNAcentral.
AACGCGAAGAACCUUACCAGGUCUUGACAUCCCUCUGACCGCUCUAGAGAUAGAGUUUUCCUUCGGGACAGAGGUGACAGGUGGUGCAUGGUUGUCGUCAGCUCGUGUCGUGAGAUGUUGGGUUAAGUCCCGCAACGAGCGCAACCCCUAUUGUUAGUUGCCAUCAUUCAGUUGGGCACUCUAGCGAGACUGCCGGUAAUAAACCGGAGGAAGGUGGGGAUGACGUCAAAUCAUCAUGCCCCUUAUGACCUGGGCUACACACGUGCUACAAUGGUUGGUACAACGAGUCGCAAGCCGGUGACGGCAAGCUAAUCUCUUAAAGCCAAUCUCAGUUCGGAUUGUAGGCUGCAACUCGCCUACAUGAAGUCGGAAUCGCUAGUAAUCGCGGAUCAGCACGCCGCGGUGAAUACGUUCCCGGGCCUU